This 440-nucleotide ribosomal RNA is filed under the name uncultured bacterium. RNAcentral describes it as "partial 16S ribosomal RNA". It matches the Rfam family "Bacterial small subunit ribosomal RNA", at positions 338 to 795 of the family's 1533-position model. The record is from RNAcentral.
CCUACGGGUGGCAGCAGUAGGGAAUAUUGCUCAAUGGGCGAAACCCUGAAGCAGCAACGCCGCGUGGAGGAUGACGGUUUUCUGAUUGUAAACCCCUUUUGUUAGAGAAGAUAAUGACGGUAUCUAACGAAUAAUCACCGGCUAACUCCGUGCCAGCAGCCGCGGUAAUACGGCGGGUGCAAGCGUUACUCGGAUUUAUUGGGCGUUAAGGGCGCGUAGGCGGGAUAGCAAGUCAGAUGGGAAAUCCUAUGGCUUAACCAUAGAACUGCAGUUGAAACUGUUGUUCUAGAGUGUGGGAGAGGUAGGUGGAAUGCGUGGUGUAGGGGUAAAAUGCGUAGAGAUCAAGAAGAAUACUGAUUGCGAAGGCGACCUACUAGAACAUAACUGACGCUGAUGCGCGAAAGCGUGGGGAGCAAACAGGAUUAGAUACCCUUGUAGUC